UUGGCUCUAGGAUGUGCUCAUUGCAUGAACUGUGUAUAUUUUUAUUCGAUACCCAGAGCAUGCAGUGUGAACAUAAUAGAGAUGG
Cavia porcellus (domestic guinea pig) is the source of this 85-nucleotide microRNA precursor. Ensembl annotates it as microRNA 1912. The record is from Ensembl. NCBI's taxonomy places the organism in Eukaryota, Metazoa, Chordata, Mammalia, Rodentia, Caviidae.